GUGACGAAUAAAGUUGACCAGUGCAGUGUCGCUGUCAACCUUACCGUUACGUUGUCUUGUAUGUAGCGAUCGAGUGGACGCGAACACUCGGGGAUUUCGGAGGUCGAAAUACUGCGAAUUUAGAAACACACAACGUGUGGUUGACCAGUGCAGUGUCACUGUCACCCGGUUUGUUGUGUUUCAAGUUCGGAGUCUCCUUCGCCUGUUACGUGGUCGCCAUUUUGUGAGAGAGUGAACAGUAUAUAAGAAUCUAGAACUCAGUUGAUUAACAAAUAUCAAUAAUCAUGGGACGCUACUCUGGAAAGUCAUGUCGUCUGUCAGUUAUGUUGUCUAUGACCGCAACUUUCUUCUUAGUUGAGAUAAUUGUUGGUUAUGUGACCAACUCGAUGGCGUUAGUUGCUGACUCAUUUCACAUGCUGUCAGAUGUUGUGUCUUUACUUGUAGGGUUUUUUGCUGUGAGGGUAAGUAUAUUAUCAGUCAUACAGUUUGUAUCUUAUGAGAUUAAAGUAUGGUUAUGUUAACAGAUAAAU
This is a long non-coding RNA of Saccoglossus kowalevskii, 530 nucleotides long. The record is from RefSeq and is a predicted model, not a curated record. NCBI's taxonomy places the organism in Eukaryota, Metazoa, Hemichordata, Enteropneusta, Harrimaniidae.